GAGGGAUGGGGUGACUAGUGACAGAGAGAAGGAUGGGGUGACUAGUGACGGAGAGAGGGGGUGACUAGUGACAGAGGGAGGGGGUAACACAGUGACAGAGUAAGGGGGUCACUAGUCACCCACUCCCUCACUCUGUCACCAGUCACCCCCACUCACUGUGUCUCCCCCUCACUCUGCCACCACUCAACCCCUCCCUCACUCUGCCACCAGGUACCCCCUCACUCUGCCACCUGUCACAACCUCCCACACUCUUCCACCUGUCACCUUCUCCCUCA
This is a non-coding RNA of Pelobates cultripes (western spadefoot toad), 275 nucleotides long. The record is from the annotation of a GenBank genome assembly. NCBI's taxonomy places the organism in Eukaryota, Metazoa, Chordata, Amphibia, Anura, Pelobatidae.